Molecule: unclassified non-coding RNA, 314 nt
Filed under: plant metagenome
Description: partial contains 5.8S ribosomal RNA, internal transcribed spacer 2, and large subunit ribosomal RNA
Rfam family: 5.8S ribosomal RNA (bases 1-107)
Source: RNAcentral
GAAAUGCGAUAAGUAAUGCGAAUUGCAGAAUUUCCGUGAGUCAUCGAAUCUUUGAACGCACAUUGCGCCCAUUGGUAUUCCGAUGGGGCAUGCCUGUCCGAGCGUCAUUACGCACCCUCAAGCCCGGCUUGUGUGAUGGGCCCCGGCGUCUCGUUCGCGAGACGGGCCCGAAAGGCAGCGGCGGCGUCGACCCGAUGAGCCCGAGCGUAUGGGGACUUCUGUCACACGUUCGCGGUGCGGACCGGCGCCUGCUUGACUUUUCUGAUUAUCCAGGUUGACCUCGGAUCAGGUAGGGAUACCCGCUGAACUUAAGC